GCAUGAGUGCCAGAUGCGUUAUGGGUUAGCUUUAGGAGUUAGUUAAGGGUUGACCCCCCUCAUGUA
This 66-nucleotide transfer RNA is filed under the name Tanaisia sp. SS-2020. RNAcentral describes it as "tRNA-Leu". The record is from RNAcentral. Lineage: Eukaryota; Metazoa; Platyhelminthes; Trematoda; Plagiorchiida; Eucotylidae.